GUUUUGACCAAGUAUCUGAUCUGUCAUGUGAGGAGCAAGGAAUGCUGGAGUCAGGUUUGGCAGAUUAUGUAUCAGGCUUCCUGUGCUUGUUGCUGCUUGCACCUGGGACUUUGCCAGGGAAGUUUCAGUUUUGGGGAAUAUCUUGUGCCCAGACAGUUCAAAACCUCAGCAGAGUAAUCUCUCUCCCAUCUGCCCACCAAAGAACAGUCCAAGCCAGGUCUAUCCAGCCUCACUUCACUCUGGAGCAGACCUCUUACAUUUUUGUUGGCUGCUAACGUACUAAGCGUUUUUUGGCAGCAUGCGGUUCUGGAU
This 312-nucleotide long non-coding RNA is filed under the name Junco hyemalis (dark-eyed junco). RNAcentral describes it as "lncRNA (ENSJHYG00000004368.1)". Lineage: Eukaryota; Metazoa; Chordata; Aves; Passeriformes; Passerellidae. The record is from RNAcentral.